UUACUCGGGUUUCUCUUCAUAACGCACAAGUCUUUCGCCUUUUACUAAAGACUUCCGUGGAGAGGAACACCAAUGAGUUGAAGAUAUUUUUGGCAGGCUUUGCCGUUUGGCUGAGCCUCGUGCAUGUGUGAAAAGCA
This 137-nucleotide small nuclear RNA is filed under the name Pagrus pagrus (common seabream). Its description in RNAcentral is "U5 snRNA". The stretch from base 1 to 117 matches the Rfam family "U5 spliceosomal RNA". From Rfam's summary of the family: U5 RNA is a component of both types of known spliceosome. The precise function of this molecule is unknown, though it is known that the 5' loop is required for splice site selection and p220 binding, and that both the 3' stem-loop and the Sm site are important for Sm protein binding and cap methylation. Lineage: Eukaryota; Metazoa; Chordata; Actinopteri; Spariformes; Sparidae. The record is from RNAcentral.